UACCAGUGGCGAAGGCGACUUUCUGGCCUUAAACUGACGCUGAGGAACGAAAGCGUGGGUAGCAAACAGGAUUAGAUACCCUGGUAGUCCACGCCGUAAACGAUGAGUGCUAGGUGUCGGGAGUCAAAUCUCGGUGCCGUCGCAAACGCAAUAAGCACUCCGCCUGGGGAGUACGUGCGCAAGCAU
RNAcentral lists this ribosomal RNA (186 nucleotides) under uncultured bacterium. RNAcentral's name for it is "partial 16S ribosomal RNA". It matches the Rfam family "Bacterial small subunit ribosomal RNA", at positions 707 to 895 of the family's 1533-position model. The record is from RNAcentral.